Molecule: ribosomal RNA, 301 nt
Filed under: uncultured bacterium
Lineage: Bacteria
Description: partial 16S ribosomal RNA
Rfam family: Bacterial small subunit ribosomal RNA
Source: RNAcentral
CAGCCGCCGCGGGAAAACAGAGGGUGCGAGCGUUAAUCGGAUUUACUGGGCGUAAAGCGUGCGUAGGCGGCUUCUUAAGUCGGAUGUGAAAUCCCUGAGCUUAACUUAGGAAUUGCAUUCGAUACUGGGAAGCUAGAGUAUGGGAGAGGAUGGUAGAAUUCCAGGUGUAGCGGUGAAAUGCGUAGAGAUCUGGAGGAAUACCGAUGGCGAAGGCAGCCAUCUGGCCUAAUACUGACGCUGAGGUACGAAAGCAUGGGGAGCAAACAGGAUUAGAGACCCCAGUAGUCCCUGUCUCUUAUAC